This 269-nucleotide ribosomal RNA is filed under the name uncultured prokaryote. Its description in RNAcentral is "partial 16S ribosomal RNA". It matches the Rfam family "Bacterial small subunit ribosomal RNA", at positions 524 to 792 of the family's 1533-position model. The record is from RNAcentral.
UACGUAGGUGGCGAGCGUUGUCCGGAUUUACUGGGCGUAAAGGGAGCGUAGGCGGACUUUUAAGUGAGAUGUGAAAUACCCAGGCUCAACUUGGGUGCUGCAUUUCAAACUGGAAGUCUAGAGUGCAGGAGAGGAGAAUGGAAUUCCUAGUGUAGCGGUGAAAUGCGUAGAGAUUAGGAAGAACACCAGUGGCGAAGGCGAUUCUCUGGACUGUAACUGACGCUGAGGCUCGAAAGCGUGGGGAGCAAACAGGAUUAGAUACCCCCGUA